RNAcentral lists this ribosomal RNA (542 nucleotides) under uncultured archaeon. RNAcentral's name for it is "bacterial SSU rRNA". It matches the Rfam family "Archaeal small subunit ribosomal RNA", at positions 457 to 997 of the family's 1478-position model. The record is from RNAcentral.
GGCAGCAGCCGCGGGAACACCGGCGGCCCGAGUGGUGAUCGUGAUUAUUGGGUCUAAAGGGUCCGUAGCCGGUUUGGUCAGUCCUCCGGGAAAUCUGAUAGCUCAACUAUUAGGCUUUCGGGGGAUACUGCCAGACUUGGAACCGGGAGAGGUAAGAGGUACUACAGGGGUAGGAGUGAAAUCUUGUAAUCCCUGUGGGACCACCUGUGGCGAAGGCGUCUUACCAGAACGGGUUCGACGGUGAGGGACGAAAGCUGGGGGCACGAACCGGAUUAGAUACCCGGGUAGUCCCAGCCGUAAACGAUGCUCGCUAGGUGUCAGGCAUGGCGCGACCGUGUCUGGUGCCGCAGGGAAGCCGUGAAGCGAGCCACCUGGGAAGUACGGCCGCAAGGCUGAAACUUAAAGGAAUUGGCGGGGGAGCACAACAACGGGUGGAGCCCUGCGGUUUAAUUGGACUCAACGCCGGACAACUCACCGGGGGCGACAGCAAUAUGUAGGCCAAGCUGAAGACUUUGCCUGAAUCGCUGAGAGGAGGUGCAUGG